Molecule: long non-coding RNA, 1936 nt
Organism: Mirounga angustirostris (Northern elephant seal)
Lineage: Eukaryota; Metazoa; Chordata; Mammalia; Carnivora; Phocidae
Exons: 3
Source: RefSeq, a predicted model, not a curated record
UCUUUUAUUUUUUAAGGCAUCUAAUGACCAAGAAUUUAAUUUAGUAGGGAGAAUUAAUUGUAGGCAACGUCAGCUAUAAAAUGGACUCAAAUCAGUAUUUUUCCACAUGCUGUUAUCAGCCUCUUAAAGAGCCACUGCUGAGGAGAGUUUUGAAAUGAAUAUUGAAAAUGAUGUAGUGUAUCCCAUCUGAAUGCUUGAUGAAGUGGAAGCAUUUAUUGCUUUGUCAUAAUGUCAAAUGUCUUUUGAGACAAUUGCUUAAAAUAUUUAUUUCAAUGAAAUGUAUUAGGUAAAAUUCAUGUAAAAUACCAUGUACCUGAAACCCCAAAUUCAACCAUCUGGUCUCACACUCUCUCUCCAGGAAGGGCUUUAAUCUAUCUGAGCUGGUGGUUGGCUCCCGAAUCCCUGCUCAGUCAUCCUAUCACCGUCACCGCCGUCCCGACCAGGAGGACCGGAGCUGUGUGCCAAGGCCAAGGGUAAUGUCCCCUCCAGGGAAAUGGCCAUGUCGACUCCAGUCACUAAGCAUGACCUCAGCAAACUACACCGGCUGGAUUUCUCCACAGAGGUGCAUUUGGGGUGGAGGGGACAGCUCCCCUAAACGUAGACGUCUUAGGAGUUUUUCUGUUCAAGCAAUUUCUUCCUUUUUUUUUUAUUUUUUAUUUUUUAUUUUUAUGCCUCUGAAGUCAUAUAGCACUACUAUCCCAGUGAGUCUCCACCCUGCCUACAUAUUUUAAUCUCGGGAAGCUUUUGAAAAAGACGAAUGUUUGUACCUGCAGCAAUGGUUCUUGAAUGUCAGUAUUGGAGUCACCAGGAGAGCUUGUUCAACACAGAUGUCUCACCCCCAGAGUUCUGACCCAGUAGGUCUGGGGUACGCCUGAGAAUGUGCAUUCCUAACAAGUGCCCAGGGGAUGCUCAAGUUCUUGGUUCAGGGACCGCACUUUGAGAACUAUCAUCUAAAGGUAUGGAAUUUAGUCUUUGACAGGGCCUGGGCACUUACAGUUUUGAAAGCUCCCCUGGGGACUCUAAUGUGCGGUUAGGGUUGAGAAUUAUUAAAUCUGGCAGACUUGGGAUCUUUAAGGCUGUCCAAGGACAUUCAAGUCCAGAGCUGAUGGACCUGGAGGCUGCAGGUGCCCCCGCCCAAGUGAGUGCAGAACCUGGGGUGAAUCAGGACACUGUCAUCCACCAGAAAGGAGUCUAGAGUCAGAGGGAUGAAAGUGGACACUUGAGAGAAUUUCAAGAUCAAGGACAAUGUAGCCAGAGAAGCCGAUUCAACAAACACAUAUUCAGUUAUACCUGCCCCUUCAUUUCAUGCAGUCACAGAGCAGAGACAGAUGAAUGCGGCAUUUGAACCUGAGUGCUGGCAUGCCUUCGCAUGAGGUUUGAAGAGCCCACUGGGUAUUCCCGUACCGGCAUCUUUGUGGCAGCUCCAUCUUGAUAAUGGAGCAGCCGUUGUUUCUUGAAUGGCGCGUUGGCUCUUCCCCUGAAGUCAUGUUCCCAUUGUGGGGAAUCCUCGGAGCCUCCUCCUUAAGGGGUGCUUACAGGAACGCGCCCACAGCUUCUGAAAGCAAGGCCAAACGGCGACGCCAGUUUUGAACACGGAUCUAAUCCUGUUGCUGCUAACAACACCGAGAACCUGAAAUGGGCCUGCCUCUACCGUAGAGCAAGUUCUGGGAGUGGGCCUGGCUGCCAGCUGAGGCUCUUUUAGUGUUGGAAAAACUCCUGUGCUGACUUGACCCCGGGGCACCAGCGCCAGGUGAGUCUGAGAUCUUCUGACACUCUCUGUUGUGGUUGUGACUGAAACCAGAGGCAGACCAAGGAACCGGAGCCUGGGAAUGAGAGGCGUCCCCAUGGCCCAGCGCGCAACCACACCAAGUAUGCACCAGCUGGAGACUGCUUCAGCACAUCGUCACAGAUCCAUACAAUGAAAUAUUUUGCAGUC